RNAcentral lists this unclassified non-coding RNA (525 nucleotides) under Hevea brasiliensis (rubber tree). Lineage: Eukaryota; Viridiplantae; Streptophyta; Magnoliopsida; Malpighiales; Euphorbiaceae. The record is from RNAcentral.
AAAUAUACAUGUUGAUAUAUAUUUUUCAUAAUGUAGUAAUGAAUAUUAAAAAAUGCCAUUUUACUAAAAAAUUAUAAUUACUCAAGAUUUGCUGGUGAAAUUCGAGUUUAAAUUAAAUACUAUACAUUGAAUUUGGCUCAUUGAAGAAAACCUAAAAAACAGAUCAAACCAAUCCAGUAAAAACCAAUAAAAUCAAUUAGCCGAUGUUUACAAUUCAACUAACCAAACUGCAAUCACCCCAAGUCAUAAUCCAAGUUUAGAUUCCACACUCAUCUUGCAUAAAAAGCUUGAUGUAAUAGUAUUUGAGUAGAAAUGAACAUAAAGUAAUUAAUUAUUUGUGACAUUAACUUUGUCACGAAUAUGACUGAUUUUAAAAUGACUAAGAUAACAGUGUACCCAUAGCAAAAUUAGCUUCAAAAUAUAAACAAGGAAAUUCAAUUGGCACAUCAUGGCUAAGUUGUGCUUCUUUUUUUUGGUAUUGUUACGAUGAUAAUUGGGAAAAUGAGAGGAUUGGAGAUAUAAAUA